Molecule: small RNA, 886 nt
Filed under: Pan troglodytes (chimpanzee)
Lineage: Eukaryota; Metazoa; Chordata; Mammalia; Primates; Hominidae
Description: retained intron
Source: RNAcentral
GUCAGAGACACUGAGAGGGGGGUGUGUGCAUGCCACAUUUAGCCUCGCUGUUUACAGCCAGUUCAAGAUGCUGCCCCCACCCCCUUAGGCCCGAGGGAUCAGGAGCUAUGGGGCCAGAGGCCCUGUCAUCUUUACUGCUGCUGCUCUUGGUGGCAAGUGGAGAUGCUGACAUGAAGGGACAUUUUGAUCCUGCCAAAUGCCGCUAUGCCCUGGGCAUGCAGGACCGGACCAUCCCAGACAGUGACAUCUCUGCUUCCAGCUCCUGGUCAGAUUCCACUGCUGCCCGCCACAGCAGGUUGGAGAGCAGUGACGGGGAUGGGGCCUGGUGCCCCGCAGGGUCGGUGUUUCCCAAGGAGGAGGAGUACUUGCAGGUGGAUCUACAACGACUGCACCUGGUGGCUCUGGUGGGCACCCAGGGACGGCAUGCCGGGGGCCUGGGCAAGGAGUUCUCCCGGAGCUACCGGCUGCGUUACUCCCGGGAUGGUCGCCGCUGGAUGGGCUGGAAGGACCGCUGGGGUCAGGAGGUGAUCUCAGGCAAUGAGGACCCUGAGGGAGUGGUGCUGAAGGACCUUGGGCCCCCCAUGGUUGCCCGACUGGUUCGCUUCUACCCCCGGGCUGACCGGGUCAUGAGCGUCUGUCUGCGGGUAGAGCUCUAUGGCUGCCUCUGGAGGGGUGAGUGGCUCAGCUUCCUGGGAAUCUGUUUCGUGAGCAGGGGACUGGAGGGUGGGGAGUGUGGAGAAUGGGCAUCCAGGAUCCCUUCUCCUGCUGGGAAGCUGUCACUCUGAGGAGGGGGCUAGCCAGCAUUGUCUCCUCCAUGCCAAUGAGCCAGUGGAGAGAUACAAGAAGGGACCUGAAACCUGCCCAGGCCUGAUGCAGGGAUGGGGGA